UGCGCGGACCGGGCCCCUCUGGCGACAUGAUGUCGCGAUGUCGGACCGCAUCG
Paracoccus yeei is the source of this 53-nucleotide non-coding RNA. Lineage: Bacteria; Pseudomonadati; Pseudomonadota; Alphaproteobacteria; Rhodobacterales; Paracoccaceae. The record is from Rfam.